GGUCUCUCAUAAUUGACCAUGCAUUCACAAUGACCCUUGAUUUUUUAGGUAUGAAAAAGUCUUCAACCAUGCAAUCUUCCAAGGAUUGGUGUGGUAUUAAUAGUGGUGCUACUGGAUGGAACCUAAGGCUUUCUUUUAUGACCAUGUCCAAAUACUCUAACUUGUUCAAAUCUGAUUCCUCCACUUUUCUCUUCAUACCCACCACAGUUUCUAACUCAUUUUGUGCUUUUUUCAUCACUCUUGGAUUCUUUAGUAGCUCUGAAAUUGUCCAUUCAAUUGCUGUUGCAGAAGUAUCCAUUGAACCUGCUAGCAUAUCCUAUGAAAAUGAACAUGUAAAAAGUUAAUAGUGUGACAUCUAGUUGUAAAAAUCAUGUGAAGAACCAACAAAUUUCUUAAAAAUUAGUCUUAUGUCGUUACUCAAUACACAAAAAUGUGAAGCGUGGACCAAAGCGGAUGAAAAUUGAAAUAACAAAGAUCUUAAUUAAACUUGUAGCUAGGGUUGAUAAUAUACCAUUUUGACCGAUCGAGACAUAGCGCAGUCUAUUAACUUGUUAGUUUAAUAGUGAAGAAGGCUUUAAAAAGAUUUUAGGCCUUGUCAAACUUUCAAAAAGGUUGAAUCAGACCUUAAAAAUGAGUCUAUGACAGGUUAUAGGUUAUACUCAUGCCUAACAUUUUUAAAGUAUAUCAAACUUAGGCAUUGCAAACCUUACCCGAUUCUCACCUUUAACUAUAGCUAAAUUUAGCUAUAGUUUUUUGAACAAGAAACUAUAGCUAAAUUUCUUGUUCAAAAAACUAUAGCUAAAUUUCUCCUAUAAUUAUUUCUAUCAGGAAAGAAAUAGGCAUGUGAAAUCUUGAGAUGAUAUUAUGCAUUGUCACAAGCAACUACUAUGUUUUACCAGCAUUAAUAAAAGCAUGAUGAAAAAUUGAAAAUAUUAAGCUCGACUAUGUUUUACCAGCAUUAAAGCUUUGAUAUUGGGUCGUUCAAUACGGUAUUCAGAUUCCUCAGUACCAACAAAGCUCAACAUAACAUCUACAAAAUCCUUAUUCUUAUCAUCUUUAUUGUCAGACUGGAUAUGCUCAUCAAUAAUUUUCUCAAAAAAAUCAUCAAAUAUUUUCCCAAUCGCCUUCAUACGCCUAGUUAGCCCUUGCAGAUCAAAUGGUCCAAGAUAAGGAAUGUAAUCAGCAAUAUUAGGCUUAGCUGCCAAAUGCAUGCCCUCUUGCAUCACCCCCUUAAACCCCUUCUCAUCCAAAUCCUUAUCCAUAUACUUUUUCCCAAAAACCAUUCUACAACUCAUAUCAGCACUGAGUGAAGAAACCUUAGCACUUAAAUCAACCUUUGUUCCAUUGUUAGCUUCUUCUUUUAGAAACUUUAUCAAUAGGUCAAGUUCUUGUUCCCUCACAGUGCUAAAAGAAUUGAUUUUCGCAUGGCUCAACAAUUCUAAAGUACACAUUUUUCUCAUGUUGCGCCAAUAAGAACCAUAUUUACCAAAACUCAAGUUCCUCUGAUCCCAAGAGAUAACUUUUGCUGCUUCAGUUGGUGGUCUACUUGCAAAGACAAGAUCAUGGGUUUUAAGGAAAAGUUCAGCUGCUUGAGGUGAAGAAACAACUAUGGUUGGUACUAAACCUAAGCGUAAGUGCAUAAUUGGUCCAUAUUUUUGGGAUAGUUGGUGAAGAUCGCGAUGAGGAUUUGGUCCUAAUUUUAGAAGGCUACCCAUAAUUGGUAACCCUUUUGGUCCUGGUGGUAAUUUCUUUGUUUUGUUCUUGGUUCCCCAUAGCCAUAAACAAAUAAGAGAAACUAGAAAAAUUGAUAUACAAAUCAAAAUCAUGAUAGGUAUUUUGGGAAAUUUCAAAUUGCUUUUGUAAAGUGUUAUAUGUGUGUCUAAUGCAGAAACAAAGAUGGGGGUUAUAUAAUCAUCUAAGUGAUGAGAGCAACGUUUGUGUUUUGACUAAAAAACUUGCUUAGUACUAGUUAAAUGAAAUAAUAUUUUAUUUUAUAUUCGAUAAUAACAAUGUGAACAUGAACUAUGAAAAUGGAAAUGAAUGUAGAUUGUUCUUGUGCUAUUGCUAAUUGGAUUAAAUAUAUGUUUUGUAGUAAAGUUAUAUGAUUCGGCCUGCACACAAUAGCGGCAACUGGCAAGAUAUUUCUGAGAUGACUGUUAUUUCCCACUUAUAUCAAGCAUUCAUUAUAUAGUUUUGAGAGCUAAAUAAUGUGUGUUACACAUAUUAGUAUGCUACACACACUAGUAUUCUCUAGUAUCCGAUGUGAGACUCUAGAGUUUUUUAUUACACAAUACUAUGUUCUAUGUUCCAACACAGACGUUAUAUGCUGUGGAGACGCACCUGGUCUUCUACAUUCUUUAUCGUCAAAUGCACUUAACUCGGAGAUAACAUUGAGAGUAAUUUGUGCGCCAUGUCAGCCAGUCUUUCUCUACUGGCAAAGUAUUUGAGGUUAUUUUGUUGGUGGUUUUGCUCUUCUUCUCCAUGAAUUGUUCAGAAAUCUCCCAUCCACAGAAAAAUGUAUUCUAGUAGUAAUUUUUAUCAGAAGAUAUCUUUUGUUUAAGUCUUAUUAAAAAAUAAUUUUUGCUUAUGUAAUGUAGAUCUUUGUGACCAACUGACCAUUAGAUCUAAGUUCAUAAAUACAAUUUUCCCUGUUAUGUCAGUAUUUGAUUUGCUAAAGAGCAAAAGCAUGACGAAAUUACUUAUUUUAUAGAUUGAAAAAAUCAUAAAGCUCAAAAGAAAAAUGUUGAGAUUUGUUACUAAUAAAUCAUGGAUAAAUUAUUGUUUCACACAUAAUAAAGCCCCCCUCCCCCCACACUACUGUUUUUCUUUCCUAAUCCUUAAUGACCCUCUUUUCAAAAUUUCUUUCUCCCACUCUCUACCCUGUAUUCCAUCUUUUUCUUCCCCUCAUUACCCUCAAACCACUAAAGAUCAAACAUAACUCUUUAGUUGAUACUCACAAAACAAAGAUUUCAAUAAAUAUGACUAGUUUUAGACAAGCCAUGACACAUAAAUAUCAUCCAGUAAAGGAAUAUGAAUUCCUAUUACAAGAACCAAAACUAUGUGAUGUGAUGAUCUAACUAAGGUAAAGAGUUGGUAUAAACGUAAUCUUCAUUCUCAAAAACAGUUUCUUCAGACCCAACACUUCUUCCCUUGCAUUCACCUCUUUGCUUUUCACACCCACCACUUCUCUACAUAAUAAAAAUCCAGUUACUUAGAUUUUUGUAUAUAUACAUUCACAUAAAUUAAAACAAACAAUGGAAAAAGAUCAAGAGGUAGAUAUAUAUAGAGUGAGAUUCAAACUCACAACAGUUGCAGAACUUCCAGAAGCCAAAACUGCAUCUUUAUUGAUCAAUGAUCCCUUUUGAACAGCACAUACCACAUUGAAGGUAAAUAAGAGAAAAAGAAGCAUAACAGGUAUCAAGAAUCUCAUUGUAUUAGACCUAGCUAGCUAGCUAUGAUAUUAUGUGGUAUAGUGUCAAUUAUUUAUACAAACACAUAGGCCUAAAAAUUUGACAUGAUAUUGAAACUUGAUAUAAGUAUUAUUUAUAGUUAUGAUUGAUAUUGAAUGAAGAGUGUUUCAGCAUUUUCCAUUGACCUGUCUUCGGAUUCCCCGGCAAGAAUGCUCAACCCUCAAGAGUAAGGUUGGAUUAUUUUGGUGUUUUCUGAGUUAAAUUAAUAUAUAAAUAAAAUGAGCUAACAUAAGAGAAGAAUAUAUCCCGUGUUAAGAUUUGUCACUUUGAACUUUGAAUCCAAGUCAACCCUAACACUGACACCACUUACCUACUCAUGGUUUUAAGAAUAAAAAAUUGACCUAAGUACCGGUCUGUUGCACAAAUAACUUAUAGAGUAUAUGUCCAUCUUUAUCUCUUACUUUUCAUCUUAUAUAUCAUAAUGAGUUUUGAAAUACAUAAAAAAACAGAAGAACAUGUAUUAAUUAAGUGUUCACUUUAAAUGUUAAAACAUCGUUUAUCAUUGUGUACAUUUGACAUUCUCGUCCUCUUUGGUAUGUCUUAUUUUAUGUGUGUAUCCAUUCCUAUGGUCAGUACUCGGUGUUGGGGAUUUAACCCAAAACAAAGAACAAAGAAUAAAAGUUUGAAGAAUGAAAACUGAGAGAAGAUGAAUUGUUGAAUAAGCAGAAAAAUUGAUUAAAGGAAAGAGUAAAAUUGCAUUAUUUACAAUGAGGGAUUACAAGUGUAUAUAAUAUAUAUACACAAAAGUGUAACUAACUAACAAACUGAAUUACAACGGUACAUAACUAUCUAACUGCUAAAAACUAGGAAAAACGUAACUGAACCGAAACAGAGCUUCAGAGCCUCAGCUAGCUUCAUAACCUAUAUCAACUUCAGAGGCUGCGAGGUUCAGAGGCUAUACUGCCUCUGAGGCUGAAACGCUUCAGAGGCUUCACUGCUUCAGAACCUCUGAAGCUAGAUAGAUAGCUUGGAUUACCAAUCAAACCAAUACUCGGUACACCACGACACUCCAACACUCCUCUAUUUUUGUGAAAUUCGCUUUGAUCCAUGCCCCGAAUACCAACGUCCUCAAUUGACACUAUACCCUCAAGGCUAAUCGCCCGGAGUGUUUUACUGUCUUGUGCUGCAAGGCUACGCUGUAUCAUAUAUUUUAGAUCAUUUGUGCAAAGUACUCAAACAUCACACUUGGCUAUCCUAUAAAUAUCUUGUGAUAAUCAAAAAGAGUAUAUUUUCCCAACUACAAACAAGCAAACAAAAAUGACAUAUAAAAAAAAAAACCCCAAAUCAUUUAUAAGGCUAACAUAUUUGGAUUUUGUACUUUGUUGCAUAUACCAUAAUAUGUAAAAUACAUUUGAGAAAAACAACCCCUUUAUUUUUUCUGCAAGCCUUAUUUAUUCAAACAUAAAUUCCAAUGUCAAGUACAUUUAUCUUUCAACUUAAUCACUAUCACUAUAAAGACGAUAAUUAGGGAUCACAAUUAAAUGAUUAAGUCUAGGCAUAGUAAGUCCAAACUCCUCUUUCAUAUCCAAAUCACUUGGUAACAUAUGAUCAGGCAAUUUCCAAUCAAAGCAAUGCACAAGUUGAGCCACUACCAAACGAAUCACAGUUAGGCCCAAUUGCAUUCCAGGACAACCCCUUCUACCAGAACCAAAUGGUAAAAAUUGAAAAUCAUGCCCUCUAACAUCUAUGUUACUUCCUUCAAAUCUCUCAGGCCAAAAUUUCUCAGGAUCAGUCCAUGCAUUUGGGUCUCUCAUAAUUGACCAUGCAUUCACAAUGACCCUUGAUUUUUUAGGUAUGAAAAAGUCUUCAACCAUGCAAUCUUCCAAGGAUUCGUGUGGUAUUAAUAGUGGUGCUACUGGAUGGAACCUAAGACUUUCUUUUAUAACCAUGUCCAAAUACUCUAACUUGUUCAAAUCUGAUUCCUCCACUUNNNNNNNNNNNNNNNNNNNNNNNNNNNNNNNNNNNNNNNNNNNNNNNNNNNNNNNNNNNNNNNNNNUGGAUUCUUUAGUAGCUCAGAAAUUGUCCAUUCAAUUGCUGUUGCAGAAGUAUCCAUUGAACCUACUAGCAUAUCCUAUGCAAAUGAACAUGUAAAAAUUUAGUUAAUAGUGUGACAUCUAAAAGGUAAACAUGUAUGUUAAUUUGAUGAAAAAUAUUAAUAACAAA
RNAcentral lists this long non-coding RNA (5633 nucleotides) under Trifolium pratense (red clover). RNAcentral's name for it is "long non-coding RNA (TPRA_LNC001218)". Lineage: Eukaryota; Viridiplantae; Streptophyta; Magnoliopsida; Fabales; Fabaceae. The record is from RNAcentral.